Molecule: long non-coding RNA, 993 nt
Organism: Loxodonta africana (African savanna elephant)
Lineage: Eukaryota; Metazoa; Chordata; Mammalia; Proboscidea; Elephantidae
Exons: 4
Source: RefSeq, a predicted model, not a curated record
AUGCUCAGGCCAGACAGCUGGCACAUUGAGAUUCAUUCUAUUAUAAAACCAGGCUCUAUUGCCUGUCAUUCUACUUUCUGAACAUCUCUUUGUGCUGUCCCUUAAUUAUUACCCCUACUCAAAGCUUCAUAUAAUCUCACAACUAUCUAAGAAGUCGUCCUGUUUCAGGCUGUUUCCUCAUUACUUUCUGAACUAUUUGCAAUUCUAACAUUCCAUGUUCUUUCUCAUUUUUAUUUCUGUUCAGACUCCAGACAUGUUCCAUUUCCCCUCUGCCUUCCCUCUCUUUACUCCACUCUAUACCCUUAUUCUCCUGGUUUGUUUAAGGUGCUCUUUUUGUGUGCCUUUAGAGCAUGUUAGUAUUUCCAUUUCAGAACACUCAUUUUUUUACUCCUACUCAGUGGUUAAGUGCUACAGGUCUCAAAUAAUAAGGUCAACAGUUCAAAUCCACUAGCUUCUCCUUGGAAGCCCUAUGGGGCAACUCUACUCUGUCCAACAGGGUUGCUAUGAGUCGGAACCAACUCAAUGGCAGUGGGUUUGUUUAUCUUGGUUUACUAGUCUGUAAAUUCCCUGAUGUCAGGGUAUGUGUUUUAAUUGUCUUUGUACAUCUAGUAUGUUUCAUAAACCUUUGGAGCAUAGUUCGAUCAAUAAAUGUUUGAUGAAUGAACCAAAGAAUGAAUGUGUUACUGAUUUCUCACACAUGCUUUCACAGGACUCAGCAAAAUAUGAAGUUCUUUAUCUUUGCCUUCAUCUUGGCCAUCAUGGCUGCCAUGAUUGGAGCUGAUUCAUCUGAAGAGCGAUUUCUUCGUAGAAGAUUCCGUGGAGAGCGUUUUGAAUAUCAGCCUUUUCCAGGAUACUAUCAACAAUAUUACCCCGCACAACCUUACCCAGGUCCAUAUGCUAACAACUUUCCUCAGUAACCACAAGACUUGAUUACACAGGUAUGCCAAGUUUAGUGACAUUUUUGCUCUCCAUAAAUAUCAAUAAUGACAUAUA